Molecule: long non-coding RNA, 416 nt
Filed under: Physcomitrium patens
Lineage: Eukaryota; Viridiplantae; Streptophyta; Bryopsida; Funariales; Funariaceae
Description: long non-coding RNA (PPAT_LNC002563)
Source: RNAcentral
AUUUAGAUUAAUUAACAUUUAAUAUGUUCUAACUAAUUUUUACAUACUAUAAGCAUUUACACUACGACACCGCAUCGAUGUCCCUUGGCCGCUCACGAAUAUUCCUCUUAUUCCUGUCGGUAGGUCCCCAGUUAUCAUAGAAACCCUAAACAAACUCCAAUUUGCCAACUCCCAAAACCUCUUUAAACUGUUGGUAGAUAUCUUCUAUCCGUACACUCAGAUUAACACAACCACGCAUAUAUUCAGCAUACUCAACCUUCUAGACAACUCUGAAUUUCAACCAAAGAAGUAUCCGCCAUUCCAACAACAAUCAAGAGUACCAGCCUUUUCUUUUCUUAUGAAAAAUCCAAUUCACCAAUAUAUCACUGACUUUCAGCAACGAUUGCCUCAGUCUUUCCAAAAUCCUGUGAAGAAAA